This 437-nucleotide ribosomal RNA is filed under the name Chrosomus erythrogaster (southern redbelly dace). RNAcentral describes it as "partial 12S ribosomal RNA". It matches the Rfam family "Bacterial small subunit ribosomal RNA", at positions 768 to 1405 of the family's 1533-position model. The record is from RNAcentral. Lineage: Eukaryota; Metazoa; Chordata; Actinopteri; Cypriniformes; Leuciscidae.
CAAACUGGGAUUAGAUACCCCACUAUGCUCAGCCAUAAACCUAGACGUCCAACUACAAUUAGACGUCCGCCCGGGUACUACGAGCAUUAGCUUGAAACCCAAAGGACCUGACGGUGCCUUAGACCCCCCUAGAGGAGCCUGUUCUAGAACCGAUAACCCUCGUUAAACCUCACCACUUCUAGCCACCCCAGCCUAUAUACCGCCGUCGUCAGCUUACCCUGUGAAGGCAAUAAAAGUAAGCAAAAUGGGCACAACCCAGAACGUCAGGUCGAGGUGUAGCGUACGAAGCGGGAAGAAAUGGGCUACAUUUUCUAUAAUAGAAUACUACGGACAUGCAACAUGAAAUAGUGCUUGAAGGAGGAUUUAGUAGUAAAAAGGAAGCAGCGUGUCCUUUUGAACCCGGCUCUGAGGCGCGUACACACCGCCCGUCACCCUCU